RNAcentral lists this ribosomal RNA (328 nucleotides) under uncultured Bacteroidota bacterium. Its description in RNAcentral is "bacterial SSU rRNA". It matches the Rfam family "Bacterial small subunit ribosomal RNA", at positions 28 to 351 of the family's 1533-position model. Lineage: Bacteria; Pseudomonadati; Bacteroidota. The record is from RNAcentral.
GAUGAACGCUAGCGGGAGGCUUAACACAUGCAAGUCGAGGGGCAUCACGGGGUAGCAAUACUCUGGUGGCGACCGGCGCACGGGUGAGUAACACGUAUGCAACCUACCUCGUACAGGGGGAUAACCCGGAGAAAUUCGGACUAAUAUCCCAUAAUGAUAUUGAAAGGCAUCUUUUAAUAUUUAAAGCUCAGGCGGUACGGGAUGGGCAUGCGGAACAUUAGCUAGUUGGUAGGGUAACGGCCUACCAAGGCUGCGAUGUUUAGGGGACCUGAGAGGGUUAUCCCCCACACUGGUACUGAGACACGGACCAGACUCCUACGGGAGGCUG